UGCUUUGGACCAGGACUAAUCCGGAGAGA
Molecule: non-coding RNA, 29 nt
Filed under: Rattus norvegicus (Norway rat)
Lineage: Eukaryota; Metazoa; Chordata; Mammalia; Rodentia; Muridae
Source: RNAcentral